RNAcentral lists this ribosomal RNA (433 nucleotides) under uncultured bacterium. RNAcentral describes it as "partial 16S ribosomal RNA". It matches the Rfam family "Bacterial small subunit ribosomal RNA", at positions 29 to 507 of the family's 1533-position model. The record is from RNAcentral.
AACGAACGCUGGCGGCAGGCCUAACACAUGCAAGUCGAGCGGACCCUUCGGGGUUAGCGGCGGACGGGUGAGUAACGCGUGGGAAUAUGCCCUUCUCUACGGAAUAGUCCUGGGAAACUGGGGGUAAUACCGUAUACGCCCUUUGGGGGAAAGAUUUAUCGGGGAAGGAUUAGCCCGCGUUGGAUUAGGUAGUUGGUGGGGUAAUGGCCUACCACGCCGACGAUCCAUAGCUGGUUUGAGAGGAUGAUCAGCCACACUGGGACUGAGACGCGGCCCAGACUCCUACGGGAGGCAGCAGUGGGGAAUCGUAGACAAUGGGGGCAACCCUGAUGGAGCCAUGCCGCGUGAGUGAUGAAGGCAUUAGGGUUGUAAAGCUCUUUCAGCUGGGAAGAUAAUGACGGUACCAGCAGAAGAAGCCCCGGCUAACUCCGUG